GACGAACGCUGGCGGCGUGCUUAACACAUGCAAGUCGAACGAAGUGGCGCACGGGUGAGUAACGCGUAAUCAACCUGCCCUUCAGAGGGGGCCACCAGUUGGACACGACUGCUAAUACCGCAUACUGAAGGCGGGGCUUGCGUCUGCUUAGCUCGUUGGAGGGGUAACGGCCCACCAAGGCGAGGAUCAGUAGACGGUCUGAGAGGAUGAACGGCCACAUUGGGACUGAGACACGGCCCAGACUCCUACGGGAGGCAGCAGUGGGGAAUCGUCCGAAAUGGACGAAAGUCUGACGGAGCAAAGCCGCGUGAGUGAGGACGGCCUUCGGGUUGUAAAGCUCUGUUAAUCGGGACGCGGUACCGGAAGAGAAAGCCACGGCUAACUACGUGCCAGCAGCCGCGGUAAUUC
This 408-nucleotide ribosomal RNA is filed under the name uncultured bacterium. RNAcentral's name for it is "partial 16S ribosomal RNA". It matches the Rfam family "Bacterial small subunit ribosomal RNA", at positions 28 to 526 of the family's 1533-position model. The record is from RNAcentral.